GAUGAACGCUGGCGGCGUGCCUAAUACAUGCAAGUCGAGCGGUAAGGCCACUUCGGUGGUACACGAGCGGCGGACGGCUGAGUAACACGUAGGAACGUACCCCAAACUGAGGGAUAAGCACCAGAAAUGGUGUCUAAUACCGCAUGUGCUUUAAGGAGUAAAGCUUCGGCGGUUUGGGAACGGCCUGCGCAUGAUUAGCUUGUUGGUGAGGUAAUGGCUCACCAAGGCGACGAUCAUUAGCUGGUCUGAGAGGAUGAUCAGCCAGACUGGGACUGAGAACGGCCCAGACUCCUACGGGAGGCAGCAGUAGGGAAUUUUCCACAAUGGACGAAAGUCUGAUGGAGCAACGCCGCGUGCAGGAUGAAGGCUUUCGGGUCGUAAACUGCUUUUAUCUGUGAAGAUUAUGACGGUAGCAGAUGAAUAAGGAUCGGCUAACUCCGUG
This 442-nucleotide ribosomal RNA is filed under the name uncultured bacterium. Its description in RNAcentral is "bacterial SSU rRNA". It matches the Rfam family "Bacterial small subunit ribosomal RNA", at positions 28 to 507 of the family's 1533-position model. The record is from RNAcentral.